This 92-nucleotide transfer RNA is filed under the name Phytohabitans aurantiacus. RNAcentral's name for it is "Micromonospora sp. RD004123 tRNA-Ala". The record is from RNAcentral. Lineage: Bacteria; Bacillati; Actinomycetota; Actinomycetes; Micromonosporales; Micromonosporaceae.
GCCGUCCGCGCCGCGUUUGCGGCCGCCGGUGCGCAACCGGUCGGCGGAGCGCCACGCGUCGUCCAGCGCGUGCGUGAUCGUGCGGGCGUCGC